AUUGAACGCUGGCGGCAUGCCUUACACAUGCAAGUCGAACGGCAGCACGGGAGCAAUCCUGGUGGCGAGUGGCGAACGGGUGAGUAAUGUAUCGGAACGUGCCCAGUCGUGGGGGAUAACGCAGCGAAAGCUGUGCUAAUACCGCAUACGAUCUAUGGAUGAAAGCGGGGGAUCGCAAGACCUCGCGCGAUUGGAGCGGCCGAUAUCAGAUUAGCUAGUUGGUGGGGUAAAAGCUUACCAAGGCGACGAUCUGUAGCUGGUCUGAGAGGACGACCAGCCACACUGGAACUGAGACACGGUCCAGACUCCUACGGGAGGCAGCAGUGGGGAAUUUUGGACAAUGGGCGCAAGCCUGAUCCAGCAAUGCCGCGUGCGGGAUGAAGGCCUUCGGGUUGUAAACUGCUUUUGUACGGAGCGAAAAGGCUCUCUCUAAUACAGGGGGCUCAUGACGGUACCGUAAGAAUAAGCACCGGCUAACUACGUGCCAGCCGCCGCUGUAA
RNAcentral lists this ribosomal RNA (500 nucleotides) under uncultured bacterium. Its description in RNAcentral is "partial 16S ribosomal RNA". It matches the Rfam family "Bacterial small subunit ribosomal RNA", at positions 30 to 523 of the family's 1533-position model. The record is from RNAcentral.